Molecule: ribosomal RNA, 475 nt
Filed under: uncultured organism
Description: partial 16S ribosomal RNA
Rfam family: Bacterial small subunit ribosomal RNA
Source: RNAcentral
GUACACUCCUACGGGAGGCAGCAGUGGGGAAUUUUGGACAAUGGGCGAAAGCCUGAUCCAGCAAUGCCGCGUGUGUGAAGAAGGCCUUCGGGUUGUAAAGCACUUUUGUCCGGAAAGAAAUCCUUGGCUCUAAUACAGUCGGGGGAUGACGGUACCGGAAGAAUAAGCACCGGCUAACUACGUGCCAGCAGCCGCGGUAAUACGUAGGGUGCGAGCGUUAAUCGGAAUUACUGGGCGUAAAGCGUGCGCAGGCGGUUUGCUAAGACCGAUGUGAAAUCCCCGGGCUCAACCUGGGAACUGCAUUGGUGACUGGCAGGCUAGAGUAUGGCAGAGGGGGGUAGAAUUCCACGUGUAGCAGUGAAAUGCGUAGAGAUGUGGAGGAAUACCGAUGGCGAAGGCAGCCCCCUGGGCCAAUACUGACGCUCAUGCACGAAAGCGUGGGGAGCAAACAGGAUUAGAAACCCGGGUAGUCCCA